UUUUUCAUGUUUUGCCAAGACGAAUCAGACAAGAAGCAACCACGAUGCUUAGCCCCGCCACUCUCACCCGGAAAACACCACUCCCGUUCAACUCUCUCGGGUUUUCCGGUAAUAACACAUCGUACUUCAACCGAAGGAGGACUCUUACUGAAGCUGGUUCAAGCAGGGCUCUUUCGUUUGGGCACAAACUGAAUUGUGGUGGUCGUGUCAAUUGGUCUGGGCGUUCCGGUACCGUGUUUGGACAUCUGGGUCGAGUCUAUUCGGUCUCAGGUGGAAGUUCAGGUGACUCCGGCGGAAUUGGUGGUUCAGGUGGAGGUUGUGGUGGUGGUGGUGGAGGUGAAGGCAGUGGCGGAAACGGAAACAAGUGGUCAUUUCUGUCAUGGUACUUGGCUCUUCUAUCAAACUAUCCUGUUUUGACCAAAGCUGUGACAUCAGCAAUUUUGACACUCAUUGGUGAUUUGAUCUGUCAGCUUACAAUCAAUAGAACCUCAUCUCUGGACAAAAAGAGGACACUUACGUUUACCAUAUUGGGAUUAGGACUAGUCGGUCCAGCAUUGCAUUUCUGGUAUUUGUAUUUGAGCAAAGUGGUGACAGCUUCCGGAUUAUCAGGCGCAGUUCUGAGGCUUUUACUGGACCAGUUUGUUUUUGCUCCUGUUUUUGUUGGAGUUUUCUUAUCAGCUGUUGUGGCACUUGAAGGAAAACCAUCACAUGUCAUACCGAAGCUGAAGCAGGAGUGGACUGGUGCAGUGGUAGCAAAUUGGCAGCUAUGGAUACCAUUUCAGUUUCUUAACUUCAGAUUUGUUCCACAAAACUUUCAGGUGCUCGCUUCAAACGUAGUGGCAUUGGCUUGGAAUGUGAUUUUAUCAUUCAAAGCUCACAGAGAAGUUGUUGCAAAAUAGGCAAUGUUUCGUUCCCUACAAGCUACAUGUGUUGUAAUCGGCAGAGUUUUGGGGGCAGAGAGUGCUUUUCUGCUGAUGCAAAUGGUUUGGUGCUCCAGAACAAAUGUGUUGGACUCUUCUCUUGACAUUUUAUGAAUAUCUUAACCUUUCAUAUUUUUAUCAAUCGAGCUGAUUGGCAGUUUCAAAACAUAUCAAAAAUUCCUUUAAUGCAUUAAUAAAUUUGUAGUUAUAAACCUUUAAAAAAUCUCUGAUAAUUUAUAAGUUUACCGAACCAAACAACGACCCUUGGCAAAA
RNA transcript from Brassica rapa (field mustard), 1193 nucleotides. It is a transcript of the gene named protein sym-1, with no coding region annotated. The record is from RefSeq and is a predicted model, not a curated record. NCBI's taxonomy places the organism in Eukaryota, Viridiplantae, Streptophyta, Magnoliopsida, Brassicales, Brassicaceae.